CUACGGGUUGCAGCAGUGGGGAAUAUUGCACAAUGGGCGCAAGUCUGAUGCAGCCAUGCCGCGUGUAUGAAGAAGGCCUUCGGGUUGUAAAGUACUUUCAGCGGGGAGGAAGGGAGUAAAGUUAAUACCUUUGCUCAUUGACGUUACCCGCAGAAGAAGCACCGGCUAACUCCGUGCCAGCAGCCGCGGUAAUACGGAGGGUGCAAGCGUUAAUCGGAAUUACUGGGCGUAAAGCGCACGCAGGCGGUUUGUUAAGUCAGAUUUGAAAUCCCCGGGCUCAACCUGGGAACUGCAUCUGAUACUGGCAAGCUUGAGUCUCGUAGAGGGGGGUAGAAUUCCAGGUGUAGCGGUGAAAUGCGUAGAGAUCUGGAGGAAUACCGGUGGCGAAGGCGGCCCCCUGGACGAAGACUGACGCUCAGGUGCGAAAGCGUGGGGAGCAAACAGGAUUAGAUACCCGGGUAGUC
RNAcentral lists this ribosomal RNA (464 nucleotides) under uncultured bacterium. RNAcentral describes it as "partial 16S ribosomal RNA". It matches the Rfam family "Bacterial small subunit ribosomal RNA", at positions 339 to 795 of the family's 1533-position model. The record is from RNAcentral.